This is a long non-coding RNA of Apis mellifera (honey bee), 1468 nucleotides long. RefSeq lists it as uncharacterized. The transcript has 2 exons. Lineage: Eukaryota; Metazoa; Arthropoda; Insecta; Hymenoptera; Apidae. The record is from RefSeq and is a predicted model, not a curated record.
UUAAUUUUGUAUUAUUAUUUAUAUUAUUGAAAGAAUUCGAUUUAAGAAUAAUUUUAAACGAUGGAUUAUUCGAAGGGUUGUUACCUUCUUCCAAUGAAUGGAAUUUUUUGACGAAUAUAUAUCUUUAGAACCGGAGAAGAUAAUUUCUUACACGCGAAGUUUUUUAGUUCUUUCAAAACCAUCAGACGGAGACUAAUUUUAUCUGUGAUAAGAAUUUUUAUUGCUACGUUAGCGUUGAUUUUUUAUUAUAUAUAGUAUUGCCUCGUAUGCUCAAAAAUCACUUCAUUAGCAUAAAUUAUUUCAGAUUUUUUUUCUCGACUGCAAAAUGCACAUUACAUAAAUCAUCCUGCAUUGAAAUGCAAAUUCAAGAGUUUUCCAUGAGUUGCAAAAAUUAUACAUAUACACAGUCAUGAUAAUUAUUGCUUUAAUCACAAUAAUUAUAUCUAUUAUUCCAUUGACAUUUUGUAAAAAAAAAAAAAAAUUCUAAAUCACCAUUCGAUUGAUAAAUGUAAUUUAAUUUCGCUGUAUAUAUAUCUUGCACAAUUUUGUAAUUUUAUGUAAUUGAAUUAAAUUUAAAAAAUAUUCAAAAGAAUUCGCUUAAAUUACUCAAAUAAACUACACAAAAAUAUUCUCAAAAAUGUUCCACCACCUUUCAACACCCUCAAAUAUACACUCGCCAAAAAAUUCAAUUUCACCAAUCCAAAACCCUGUCUAAAUCCCCUGAAGAAUCAAAACUAUCCAAUAAUAUUCUCAAACAAAUCGACGAACACAACAAUAGUUGUACACACAGUAAUCUCUCAUGUCUAGACUUGCUUCCUGGGAGCGUCGAGAACGGGGUUAAGUUCGAGCGCCUUCCAGACAGUAUCGUAUGCGCUGUCGAUCAUUCCUGUCUAUCUGUUUUCCACUAGCUCUAUUUUUCCCUAGGAAACUGGACAGGGGGAUAGUGGCGGGUAGACGGGCGUGCAGCUGUGUAGCCGAAUCUAGGUCCGAUUCUGGGCUGGAAUCACGUGCACACUGCUGUUGAUUGCACUUUGAAAUCGGGGCUACAUGGCUCGCGGGGGGGCGAUAAAGCUGCCUCUGAGGCCGUAUCCGAUCGAACGAGGACGAGCGUGCACUAGUGGAGGAUCUGUUUGUGUAUGCACGAAUCACGAGGAGGAAAGUGAGCGCAUCGAAGCAACCGUUUUAUCACAUGUGAGAAUCGAUGAGGAGUGAAGAUCGAGAUAACACUGGAAGAAAUACUAUCAAGAAUGAAGUUCUCUAAGCAAGUUUACGAUUUGAUGGGGAGUAUUUACUUCUCUUUCAUAUAAAAUUCUUUCCUAGUUAUUCUUUCUGCGUCUCGAUUCAUCCGGCCUUGAUCCAGAGGAUGUGAAAAAUAUCAGUGGCAAAUGGGACGCAACACGAUUGUAAAGAAGAAUUGUAAACAAGUACAAGGUUCGCCGAAUAAUAAACCAGACCUUAACAAGAUUAA